UAUGUGCGUAUGUAUAUAUAUAUAUAUAUAUAUAUAUAUAUAUAUAUAUUAAUGUGUAUGCGUGCGCGCUUCGCUUCUAUUAGAAAUGUUUCAUUUCAAUUGAUUUGCGCACAUAAAAGCCAUCCUAUAAUGAUUAACUGUGCGAACUUGUGCUUCGAUCACGUCAAUCCAAUAAAAUUUCUCUUGAAUUGCCUGAAAGAAAAAAAAAAAAAAAAAAAAGAGAAAAGAAAAAAGAAACAGAAAGAAAAAAAGGUAAGACUGCUCCAUAUAAAUCUAUACACUGCCUCUUGGGAUCAUAUAAUAAUUUUUUCUUCCAUUUUUUAAACAAUUUUUUGUCACGUUACAACUGAAGAUUUCUAGGUAUGCCUAUUAACGAGAUAUGUAAUAUAUAUAUAUAUAUUUUUUUGUUUACGGUACUCUUCGAAUGCAGUGAUUUCAUUAGGAUGAGCAAGUUGCGCAGGCAACUGUGAUAUAAUAGCAUAAUAUCGAUUUGUUAAGUGGCGAACAUUUUAUUCCUUUUACUUGGUGUAUAUAAUAGUACACGUGUCUCGUUGUUAAUAAUUAUUAUAGUUAUUAUUAUUAUUAUUAUUAUUGUUAUAAUGUAAUGCGUAUUGUUACGAAAAACGUAAUGGAUGAACACACACAUACACAUACACACAAGACGGUUCAACGUCCCCGCUGAAAUGGAAAUUCCUUCGUGUUAAUUAUAGUAUUUAUAUGCAAUUUUAAUGGACGUAGGAGUCGUUAAGUCCUUUCAUAUGUUAAUUAAUAUUUAUCAAGGAUUUGUGCGCUCUUUCAGUCGAUGCUGAUAAUAUAAAACGAAUAAUAUGACAAUAUGAAAUAUAAUCGUAAACAUUGUUCUCGUAAAAUGUUAGAUUUGUUUUUGUCAACUACAAUCAAACAAGUGGAAUGAAUUUAAUAGAGCAUUUAUAUAAGUGUGUAUAUAUAUAUAUAUACACACACACAUGCACACGACGUAGUUCGUGCUUUAAUAUAUUAGAAUUUAAGCGCACAAUUUUUAAGCUGCCAAAAAAGAAAGCAAAAAAGAAAACAAACGAUUGAUUUUUAUCAAGAUUUGCUAAUAUAAUCAUUUACAUAUUUACAAUAGUUAUUAAGUAAUGAGUACUGUAGAUAAAAGUACAAUCUCUCUUAUUUAAAUAUACAUAUGUACGAGACAGUAUGUAUGAUAACGACCGUGUUUAAUAAAGGCGAAUCUGACAGAAAUAA
Long non-coding RNA from Vespula pensylvanica (western yellowjacket), 1227 nucleotides. RefSeq lists it as uncharacterized. The transcript has 2 exons. The record is from RefSeq and is a predicted model, not a curated record. Lineage: Eukaryota; Metazoa; Arthropoda; Insecta; Hymenoptera; Vespidae.